CAGCAGCCGCGGUAAAACGAAGGGUGCAAGCGUUAAUCGGAAUUACUGGGCGUAAAGCGUGCGUAGGCGGUGAGUUAAGUCUGCUGUGAAAUCCCCGGGCUCAACCUGGGAAUGGCAGUGGAUACUGGCUCGCUAGAGUGUGUCAGAGGAUGGUGGAAUUCCCGGUGUAGCGGUGAAAUGCGUAGAGAUCGGGAGGAACAUCAGUGGCGAAGGCGGCCAUCUGGGACAACACUGACGCUGAGGCACGAAAGCGUGGGGAGCAAACGGGAUUAGAUACCCGCGUAGUCCCUGUCUCUUAUAA
Molecule: ribosomal RNA, 301 nt
Filed under: uncultured bacterium
Lineage: Bacteria
Description: partial 16S ribosomal RNA
Rfam family: Bacterial small subunit ribosomal RNA
Source: RNAcentral